UGGGGAAUUUUGCGCAAUGGGGGAAACCCUGACGCAGCAACGCCGCGUGAGUGAUGAAGGCCUUCGGGUCGUAAAGCUCUGUCAGAGGGGAAGAAGUGUGAGGUGGCUAAUAUCCAUUUCACUUGACGGUACCUUCAAAGGAAGCACCGGCUAACUCCGUGCCAGCAGCCGCGGUAAUACGGAGGGUGCAAGCGUUAAUCGGAAUCACUGGGCGUAAAGCGCGCGUAGGCGGCCUUUUAAGUCGGACGUGAAAGCCCUCGGCUCAACCGGGGAAUUGCGUUCGAUACUGGGAGGCUUGAGUCCUGGAGAGGGUGGCGGAAUUCCGGGUGUAGGAGUGAAAUCCGUAGAUAUCCGGAGGAACACCGGUGGCGAAGCGGCCACCUGGACAGGUACUGACGCUGA
RNAcentral lists this ribosomal RNA (402 nucleotides) under uncultured bacterium. RNAcentral describes it as "bacterial SSU rRNA". It matches the Rfam family "Bacterial small subunit ribosomal RNA", at positions 355 to 749 of the family's 1533-position model. The record is from RNAcentral.